Molecule: transfer RNA, 71 nt
Filed under: Amycolatopsis xylanica
Lineage: Bacteria; Bacillati; Actinomycetota; Actinomycetes; Pseudonocardiales; Pseudonocardiaceae
Also listed under: 2 other names
Rfam family: tRNA
About the family: Transfer RNA (tRNA) molecules are approximately 80 nucleotides in length.
Source: Rfam by way of RNAcentral
GGUGGAGUGGCCGAGAGGCGAGGCGAAGGUCUGCAAAACCUUUCACACGGGUUCGAAUCCCGUCUCUACCU